RNAcentral lists this long non-coding RNA (3832 nucleotides) under Mus musculus (house mouse). RNAcentral describes it as "long non-coding RNA chr10:63266692-63270524". The stretch from base 290 to 361 matches the Rfam family "tRNA". The record is from RNAcentral. Lineage: Eukaryota; Metazoa; Chordata; Mammalia; Rodentia; Muridae.
UUUUUUUUCUUUUUUUUUUUUGGUCUUAUUUUAACGUAAGUACUGAUUGCUGAAAUCUCAGUACAGCUUUCCUGUAGUCCAUAGGUUUGCUGUGUUUUUAUUUCCCCCCUUUUAAAGAAAAUUUUUCCUCUUUUGAUCCAUUUGAUUGUUUAGAACUAAGCUGUUUAAUUUUGUAUAGUUAUUUAGUCUCUAGUUGUUUCUUGCUACUAGUUUCUAGUUUUAUUGUAUUGUGACUGAAAAAGAUAAGAUUUUGUAAAAAAAAAAAAAAAAAGAAGAUUUUGUCGGGGCUGGUGAGAUGGCUCAGUGGGUUAGAGCACCCGACUGCUCUUCCGAAGGUCCUGAGUUCAAAUCCCAGCAACCACAUGGUGGCUCACAACCAUCCGUAACGAGAUCUGACUCCCUCUUCUGGAGUGUCUGAAGACAGCUACAAUGUACUUACAUAUAAUAAAUAAAUAAAUCUUUUUUAAAAAAAAAAGAUUUUGUUUUUUUUUUUUUUUUUUAAUUGAGGGGCUAGGGGUAGAGCUUAUUUGAGAGAUAGUGCUUGUUGCCUUGUUGCAACAUGGCACCCGCCCCCCCCCCCCCAAGAUCCAAUUGCAUGUUCUUCUAAUCCCAGUACCAGGGUGGUGACAGAAGCUUUAGAUGGUCGUCCUCAGAUUAAUAACAACUUUGAGGACAGCCCAGAAUAAUAAGUGAGACCUUUAUCAAACUAAGAAAAGGGGGAAGAUACAUUAUUGAGAAUUGGUUUGUGGCCUACUAGGUAGUUCAGCCAUACCCUGGAGAAUAUUCCACAUGCUGUUGUGUAGAAGGUUCUGAGGUUCUGUAGUUGUCUGCUAGGCUAGUUUGGUCUAGGGUACCUUUUGACUUCUGAUUUUGUAUUGAGUUUUUCUUGGCUAUCCUGUCAACUACACAAAGUGGGACAUUAGAGUCCUGUGUUACUGUGUUGGAGUUGAUCUCACUUAGGUCUAGAAUACCUAGAGGACGUGUUUUGCAUAUUAGGAUGCUCAGAUGAUAUUGAAUUGUUUUCUGAGUUGACUCUUUAGCACUGCAUAGUGCUCCUGCCUCUCUUUACUGCUUUUGACUUAAAGUCCCUUUCAUCUGACAGAAGUAUGGCUACUGUUUUCUGUUACUUCUCUUUGCCUAGAGUAUCUUAUUCCAUUGCUUCACCUUGCAUUUUGUCCUUAGAGGUAAAAUGAAUUUCUUAGAAGCAGCUCUUAGGAUCUAAUUGGGGUGGUCCACACCUUCAGUCCCAGCAGUGAAGAGUCUGAGCCAGAAUUGUCAUUUAGGUGAGCUUGGACCACCAAGUGAGGCUGUCUCAAACAAACCAAAAAGAAGUAGUAGCAGCUGUAUGUGUUUGGAUUUUGUAAUUCACUCAGUUACUCUUCUUGUUUGUUUGAAGAGGGACUGUCCUGGAACUAUGUAGGCCAAACUGGCCUUGAACUCAGAUCCACUCGCCUUUGCUGAGAUUAAAGGCCUGCUCCACCAUGCCGAGCUCAGUCACUUUUUUUAACUAGAGAAUUUAGUGUGUUGUCAUUUAAGAUGUUUGUUUAAUUUUACAGUGUCUCACUUUGUAGUUCUGACUGGCUUCAAACUCUGUAGACCUUGAAAAAUGGUGCAUUCACCAAGUGAUAUUUGGCUGUGACUGUGUUAGGCUUUGGGAGUCCCGUGGAUAUAGGAUAUAAGAUGAAUUCUGCCUUUAUAGAGUUCAUUGUUUAGCAUAUGAGACAGACACUAAAUGAAUAUAUAGUAGUGAUAACUGUAUGAAAACAGGAAAACGUGUGGUUCUUUGAGAAUUUAGUAUUUUGAAAUGUUUUAUAUGAACUUGUAAAUUGAAGUUAAUAAUGAAAAGAUGAAUGUGGUGUGGGUGGUACCCACCAGCAGGAGCAGUUAAUACCAACUUUAGCACAAUUAAACACAUCCAUGUGUUUUUGUUUCUAGCUCUUUUGCAUUUAUUUUGUUAUAGCAUUCUGUUAUACCGUUAAAAACUUAAGGUACAUUAGAACCUGCUAGUUUAAAGCAGCACAACUCUCAGGUUAUAUAUGUGUGUGUGUGUGUGUAUAUAUAUAUAUAUAUAUAUAUAUAUACUAAAUAAAAGUGUAUAUUCUUAUGCACUGUGGAGUUAGAGCUAACUGCCCCUUUUCCUGCUCACAAUAAUAUUCACUGCAACUGUCUUUGGAAAUCAUAGGGAUCAAAACUCUGUUCAGAAUUUGCUCCAGACUUUGAGUUGGCAGAGUCAGGUCAGGUGGCAGUAUCAGCUAAAGUCAGAUAAGAAAAAUUCCUCUUACCUUUCCCUUGAGAAACCUGUAUUUAGAAAAGCAGGAGAAGAUUGGUCAGGUGAAGGGGAAGUGUGUAAGGUGCUUGGGAUGUAGCAGCCAGCCCUCCCCAACUCCCCAGGAACGCAUUGUGGCUAGGAAAAGCUGAGAGUGUGAUAGCAUUACUGAUUAUUGAUUAUCAUAAAUGACAUUGAUUAUCAUAAAUGCAAAUGGACUAAAUUUCCCUAGUUGAAACAGGAGUGCCACUGAUGUGGCUGUAAGCAGAAGAGUAGGUGGGGGACUAGGAUCCAUCAUUCUGAUGUUGGAGAUGUGGAAAACACCAGGUUCCAAAUAAACUGCCAGGUUUUACACUAAAAAUUAAGAAAAGUCUUAGAUAAUGGAAGAAAAUGCUUGAGUGAUCAACGCAUCCUGAGGGAUGUUUAUCUAUAAGCAUGGUUUACCUUGCUUCUAUUCUGUCUUUUUAAGUGUUUUCUCAGCAUAUCUUUUUAUACUUGUAUAUUCUGAUUAUUGGUUUUAACCUGAAGUUUUGAUAAUUGGCCGUGACUGAAAGAGACAGCAUGCCCUGAAAAGUCAGCAGACAACUAGCCAGUGAGUUGCACAUGAGUAGCACGUAAGAUCCACUUGUUCCACAGAGGGAAUUAAGUCUGCUCUCUUUUCUUUUCUAGAAAUAUUAAAAGUCUUUCGGAUAUCCAGAUAGUACAGGUUGCGUGUGGUUACUAUCAUUCGCUUGCACUUUCUAAAGGUAAGCACUUGUCCCUUUCUAACUAAUUACUUCUUGGUACUCUGAACAAAAGGCCGCUGGGUUUUCUUUUACAAGAUUUGUCCUGAUUUCAUUUCCAUGUAUUUUAAAUCAGCUGUUAGUUUCUAUGUUUACAAAGCUGCUGAAAUAUUUGUUGAGCUUAUGGUGUCUAUAAAUCAGUAUUAGGGUAAUCUUUACAGUGUUAAGUUUUCCAACACAUGAACAUGAUACUUCUGCAUGUACUCUGUUUCUCUUACUAGGCUUUUUUCCUUUGUUUAUUCAAGACCGGGUCUUAUAUAUCAAUACGGCUAUCCUUGAACCCACUAUGUAGACCAUGCUGGACUUGAAUUCACAAAGAUCUUCCUGCCUCUGCCUCCCAAGUGCUGGGACUAAAGAAGCACACCAUUACACCUGGCAUUAGUGUUUUCUUUUAUCUGCAAAUACCUUAUAUGCCUUUAUUAUAUUUUUUACUAGGUAUUUAACUUUUUUGUGCAUUAUGUAAUUUUUUUAACCAUAUAGGCUUGAAAUUGGGUUAUUACUUAAUUACUAAAUAUUUAGAAGCAAUAACUUAUUCAUAUGCCAGUUGAACAUUAGAGAAUGAAUUAGAGAAUCUUCCAUGGUUUUUGCCUUAUCAUUUAAAACUUGGGGGCUGGAGAGAUGGCUCAAUGGUUAAGAGUAGCAACUGUUCUUCCAGAGGUCCUGAGUUCAAUUCCCAGCAACCACAAGGUGGCUCACAAUCAUCUGUAAUGGGAUUUGACGCCCUCUUCUGGUAUGUUUGAAGAUAGCUAUAGUGUACUCAGAAAUAAAAUGAUUAAAUAAAUCU